Molecule: long non-coding RNA, 575 nt
Organism: Vidua chalybeata
Lineage: Eukaryota; Metazoa; Chordata; Aves; Passeriformes; Viduidae
Exons: 3
Source: RefSeq, a predicted model, not a curated record
UUAACACUCUCUGUUUCUAGUAGGAAAUGCAAGAGAUCUCCAUGUAGAGAACUGCAAGAGAAACCACAGGCCAUUUCAGGGACCUCUUACAAUAUGAUGAGGUUUGGCAUCCCUCAUAGCUAAGCUUCUGUGUGAAAAAGCCUCUGCUUGGGCAGGGGAGUGAACUCAGGCAAAGAAGAAAACAGAAUACAUGCCCAGGACUUUACCACUCAAUGGGAAAAAGAAUGACAGCAUGUUAGAAACUGAGAAGAAGCUUGAUACAUUCAAAGAUGCUGCUCCCGACCUUUUGUUCAGCAGAGAGAGAAAAUAAAGCAACAUCUACCAAAACUUUGGUGUUUGGAAGCAACAUGAAUUCUCUUGGACACCUGGAAGGUUCUUCCCCUGCCAUCUUCCUAAACUGGUAUUAUUUUUCAUCUAAAGACACAGAAACAAGGACUGCACAAAAAACAAUAGAACAAACAUUUUAAAAUGGGCUAUCAUCCUUACAGAAAGCAUCUGAUCAAUUAAAUUACCAUUAUUUCCCCAUCCCCCUCCAGCCUUACUGUAUACAAAUAGAAUAAACAAUCAAAUUCACA